CGAUGAAGCCCAGCUUGCUGGGUGGAUUAGUGGCGAACGGGUGAGUAACACGUGAGUAACCUGCCCUUAACUCUGGGAUAAGCCUGGGAAACUGGGUCUAAUACCGGAUAGGAGCGGCAUGGUGGGUGUUGGAAAGAUUUAUCGGUUUUGGAUGGACUCGCGGCCUAUCAGCUUGUUGGUGAGGUAAUGGCUCACCAAGGCGACGACGGGUAGCCGGCCUGAGAGGGUGACCGGCCACACUGGGACUGAGACACGGCCCAGACUCCUACGGGAGGCAGCAGUGGGGAAUAUUGCACAAUGGGCGCAAGCCUGAUGCAGCGACGCCGCGUGAGGGAUGACGGCCUUCGGGUUGUAAACCUCUUUCAGUAGGGAAGAAGCGAAAGUGACGGUACCUGCAGAAGAAGCACCGGCUAACUACGUGCCAGCAGCCGCGGUAAUACGUAGGGUGCGAGCGUUAUCCGGAAUUAUUGGGCGUAAAGAGCUCGUAGGCGGUUUGUCGCGUCUGUCGUGAAAGUCCGGGGCUUAACCCCGGAUCUGCGGUGGGUACGGGCAGACUAGAGUGCAGUAGGGGAGACUGGAAUUCCUGGUGUAGCGGUGGAAUGCGCAGAUAUCAGGAGGAACACCGAUGGCGAAGGCAGGUCUCUGGGCUGUAACUGACGCUGAGGAGCGAAAGCAUGGGGAGCGAACAGGAUUAGAUACCCUGGUAGUCCAUGCCGUAAACGUUGGGCACUAGGUGUGGGGACCAUUCCACGGUUUCCGCGCCGCAGCUAACGCAUUAAGUGCCCCGCCUGGG
Molecule: ribosomal RNA, 793 nt
Filed under: Micrococcus sp. CUA-879
Lineage: Bacteria; Bacillati; Actinomycetota; Actinomycetes; Micrococcales; Micrococcaceae
Description: bacterial SSU rRNA
Rfam family: Bacterial small subunit ribosomal RNA
Source: RNAcentral